Molecule: non-coding RNA, 1489 nt
Organism: Myodes glareolus (Bank vole)
Lineage: Eukaryota; Metazoa; Chordata; Mammalia; Rodentia; Cricetidae
Source: RefSeq, a predicted model, not a curated record
CGGGGGAGGAGCCAUCGCCUCUUGGUGGACUCUCUGAAGGCAAGGUCCGGGAGAAAGAGGUGGGGCCUAAAUGUAGCUUCCGCCUAAACUGUUUAUGCCUUUAAUUCCAGCACUCAGGAGAUAGAGCUAGGCGGAUCUCUGAGUUCAAGGCCAGCCUGGUCUACAGAGUGGGUUCCAGGACAGCCAGGGCUACGCAGAGAAGCCCUGUCUCGAAAAACAAAACAAAAAGCAAGCAAAUAAAACGUAGCUUUUGCUGAAGCGGGAACUUUGGUGAGAAGAGUCACAGUGCAGGGAGUCUGGGUGACUCCCUGUCUCCUCUUGCAGUUUGAACUAUGGGAACUGUCUCCUGAACUAUGGGAACUAUACUGUGAGUCCUGAAGUUUUGAGGAGCCUGCUUUUCCUCUGAACGACAGUCCUAGCGCCCGGAUGGAGGGGUCAGGCCUACAGUUCCCUCCAGCACAGGAAGAAUGUGGAGCGUGGAUCUAUCUGAUUAGAUUAAGGUAAAAUGGAAUACAAGAGCAAGGCAUGCUGACUAAGGGGAAGAGAGACACACACUGAGUGGUUAUAAUUCUUUUGUAUAUAAAGGAUUAAAAAUUCCAAUUUAAUAAUUUUGGAAAAGCAAAUGUAAAAUGACUUGGGCUUAUAAAACCAGAAUUUACAAUUAUCUAUGAAUAGUCAAAAGAUAAAUCAUAGAACCAUUUUAAUUACAAAUCUAAAGUAAUUCUAACAUUGGUUACAGAAUCGCUGUCCCACUCCCCAGGAAGAGUCCAGCUGCUGACUGUAUGCACCCCACUCUACUCAAGCGCCUUCCUCUCUUCCCAAACCGUGCUCUCAUACCUCAACCACAUCUCCCUUCCAUAAAGCUCAGCAAAACUGUUUAUCCUCCUGGCUCUUACCAACUGCCUUCCUUUCAUAAGAACCCUGGCUCCCGGCACUGAAUGUGGUCCAUCCUUAAGCUUCAGCGGUUGGUCUUCUCUCGGCUCCAUCCCAGCAGGCAAGGUCCUCCUCUGAAAGGAACUGCUGCACCAGAGAGGCCAGAGAUGUCUUGUGCUAAGUCUUCCCUAGGCCAGCUCCAGCCAGGCUCCAGCUGUCUAGCACCUUUGUAUGCAAAGUUCCACUGUUCUCUCUUCCUCCUGCUUCAACAUUUACACCAACAGGACAUCUGGGCAUCCUUAGGUCUUCCUGUCUUUCACAACCCUUCAUUGACAGUUCAGGGACUACCAACACGACUAUACACUGAAAAGUUGGUAUUUUCUUCUCUCUACUGUUACGUACUUAAACAGAACAAAAAGUUUUCGGGGAGCCAGGACACUGACCAGAGAAAGCUGUUUCUCAACACUCCCUGCCUCCUAAUGGAUGCUGACUACUCUGCAAAGUUCAGGAACCCACAGCCUCUGACAACUCCAAGCCUGAGGGAGGUAAAUAGGCCUGCCAGUUCUGCCCGAUGACGGGCACUGGAUAGAGUACCGCAUUCUGACUGACAGACUGG